UUAACCACCUCUCCUCCUGGUUCCUCCUCCUCUUCCUUAACCUCCUCUUCCUUAACCUCCUCUCCUCCUGGUUCCUCCUCUACUUCUCCCUCUGUAUUGUGGUUGGCCGCUCUAUCUUUCUCUGUUGUACUGGUUUUACUGGUUCUACUGGUGAGACGAUGCCUCCACAGGAAACCUAAAGCCGCUGAAGAAGAAACUGGGGAUGAUGACAUCACAGACCUACAGCAGCCAAUCAGACGCAGCAAAGAGUGUUUUUCCGUUGCAGUCUACUCAGCAGUGAGAGGAACUGGUGACGUCAGUUAUGAACAAAUAGGCGACUGACCACACAGGACGAGAGCUGCUCUUUCUUUAUGAACUUUGGACAAAGCUAGGCUAGCUGUUUCCCCCUGCUUCCAGUCUUUAUGCUAAGCUAAGCUAAGCACAACCUAACUCCAGAUCAAUCUUUCCAAAACACUGAACUGUUCCUUUAAAGAGAUGUUGAUAAUUGGAAGGUCAGACGUACUAAACAUGAGGAUCUCUAAACCCUUCAUGUAUCUCAUGUAAUGCAGGGGAUUUGUGUUGAAGGGUUAUUUCUUUUGUUUACCUGCAAGAGUCCAGGAACAGAGUUUAGCGUGUGGAAAAUACCGGGCUUAUUGGGACAGGGAGUCCCAGAGGUUUAUGCAAUCUGUUACUGAAUGAUUGAUUGUUCUGUGUUUGGUAUUCAACUCAUCUGAGAACAUUUUAGGUCAUCUGCUCAGUCUGUCUCUAAUAACUAGCAUUUAUUAUUGUCUAUCAAAAACUAAUCUAAUAUUCUUUCCAGCAUUUAAUACUUCUAAGAAUUGAGUUACUUUUAACAGUCGGAGUAUUUUCUCAUAUUCAUUUUAAGUAUCACUCCUGG
Molecule: long non-coding RNA, 877 nt
Organism: Micropterus dolomieu (smallmouth bass)
Lineage: Eukaryota; Metazoa; Chordata; Actinopteri; Centrarchiformes; Centrarchidae
Exons: 3
Source: RefSeq, a predicted model, not a curated record